UUACAUGGUAAUGUACAUCAUAUAUUUUUUUAGUUUUAUCAUUCUCUUAUUUUAGAAGUUACAGGGGUGGGGGGGGACACACAUUUUACCACUUUGGAAGUGUCUCUCGCGCAAACUAUUCAGUUUAGAAAAAAAUGAUAUUAGAAACCUCAAUAUCAUUUUUGAAGACCUAUCCAUAGAUACCCCACACGUAUGGGUUUGAUGAAAAAAAAUUUGAGUUUCAGGGAUUUAUGAUGUAUUAAAAAAAACUACUCACUAGAUCUCGUUCAAACCAAUUUUCGGUGGAAGUUUGCAUGAUAAUGUACAUCAUAUAUUUUUUUUAGUUUUAUAAUUGUCUUACUUUAGAAGUUACAGGGGGGGGGACACAUUUUACCACUUUGGAAGUGUCUCUCGCGCAAACUAUUCAGGUUAGAAAAAAAUGAUAUUAGAAACCUCAAUAUCAUUUUUGAAGACCUAUCCAUAAAUACCCCACACGUUUGGGUUUGAUGAAAAA
Long non-coding RNA from Cydia amplana, 493 nucleotides. RefSeq lists it as uncharacterized. The record is from RefSeq and is a predicted model, not a curated record. The transcript has 2 exons. NCBI's taxonomy places the organism in Eukaryota, Metazoa, Arthropoda, Insecta, Lepidoptera, Tortricidae.